This 404-nucleotide ribosomal RNA is filed under the name Brucella melitensis. RNAcentral describes it as "partial 16S ribosomal RNA". It matches the Rfam family "Bacterial small subunit ribosomal RNA", at positions 355 to 776 of the family's 1533-position model. RNAcentral also lists the same sequence under 1 other name. The record is from RNAcentral. Lineage: Bacteria; Pseudomonadati; Pseudomonadota; Alphaproteobacteria; Hyphomicrobiales; Brucellaceae.
UGGGGAAUAUUGGACAAUGGGCGCAAGCCUGAUCCAGCCAUGCCGCGUGAGUGAUGAAGGCCCUAGGGUUGUAAAGCUCUUUCACCGGUGAAGAUAAUGACGGUAACCGGAGAAGAAGCCCCGGCUAACUUCGUGCCAGCAGCCGCGGUAAUACGAAGGGGGCUAGCGUUGUUCGGAUUUACUGGGCGUAAAGCGCACGUAGGCGGACUUUUAAGUCAGGGGUGAAAUCCCGGAGCUCAACCCCGGAACUGCCUUUGAUACUGGAAGUCUUGAGUAUGGUAGAGGUGAGUGGAAUUCCGAGUGUAGAGGUGAAAUUCGUAGAUAUUCGGAGGAACACCAGUGGCGAAGGCGGCUCACUGGACCAUUACUGACGCUGAGGUGCGAAAGCGUGGGGAGCAAACAGG